This 467-nucleotide ribosomal RNA is filed under the name uncultured bacterium. RNAcentral describes it as "partial 16S ribosomal RNA". It matches the Rfam family "Bacterial small subunit ribosomal RNA", at positions 28 to 507 of the family's 1533-position model. The record is from RNAcentral.
GACGAACGCUGGCGGCGUGCUUAACACAUGCAAGUCGAACGGAAAGGCCCUGCUUUUGUGGGGUGCUCGAGUGGCGAACGGGUGAGUAACACGUGAGUAACCUGCCCUUGACUUUGGGAUAACUUCAGGAAACUGGGGCUAAUACCGGAUAGGAGCUCCUGCUGCAUGGUGGGGGUGGGAAGGUUCGGCGGUUGGGGGUGGACUCGCGGCUUAUCAGCUUGUUGGUGGGGUAGUGGCUUACCAAGGCUUUGACGGGUAGCCGGCCUGAGAGGGUGACCGGCCACAUUGGGACUGAGAUACGGCCCAGACUCCUACGGGAGGCAGCAGUGGGGAAUAUUGCACAAUGGGCGGAAGCCUGAUGCAGCAACGCCGCGUGCGGGAUGACGGCCUUCGGGUUGUAAACCGCUUUCGCCUGUGACGAAGCGUGAGUGACGGUAAUGGGUAAAGAAGCACCGGCUAACUACGUG